Molecule: long non-coding RNA, 313 nt
Filed under: Brassica napus (rape)
Lineage: Eukaryota; Viridiplantae; Streptophyta; Magnoliopsida; Brassicales; Brassicaceae
Description: long non-coding RNA (BNAP_LNC014437)
Source: RNAcentral
GGGGUUACUGUGUUUGAGUGCAUGCAGGAUAUCGCGCAAAAUAGCAAGAGAGGACGGAUUUAUUGAAGCCCACAACCCUUACUCAUUUCUGCUUCACGGAUUGGGUUGUUCUCAAAUGUGGAUCAAUCGUGCCACUGUUCUCCAGCUCUUGACUUCUUUUUAUUCCUCAAAAAUCUGCACCCACUUCUUGCUCACCCUUUUCCAGCAACAUGCAUCUCUCGAAUCUACCCUCCCCAUCUCAAAAAUAAAUUAAAGUAUUUCAGAGAGUUUUUUUUUUUGAAUGGAGAUGGAGAAAGGUAUGGGGAUGAAUGUU